Molecule: ribosomal RNA, 442 nt
Filed under: uncultured bacterium
Lineage: Bacteria
Description: partial 16S ribosomal RNA
Rfam family: Bacterial small subunit ribosomal RNA
Source: RNAcentral
CCUACGGGAGGCAGCAGUAGGGAAUCUUUCACAAUGGGCGAAAGCCUGAUGGAGCAACGCCGCGUGCAGGAUGAAGGCCUUCGGGGUGUAAACUGCUUUUAUAAGCGAGAAAUAUGAUGGUAACUUAUGAAUAAGGAUCGGCUAACUACGUGCCAGCAGCCGCGGUCAUACGUAGGAUCCGAGCAUUAUCCGGGGUGACUGGGUGUAAAGAGUUACGUAGGUGGCAUAAUAAGUAGCUAGUGAAAUCGGGUGGCUCAACCAUUCAGACUAUUAGCUAAACUGUUAAGCUCGAGACCGUUAGGGGUAACUGGAAUUUCUAGUGUAGGAGUGAAAUCCGUAGAUAUUAGAAAGAACACCGAUAGCGUAGGCAGGUUACUGGGACGGUUCUGACACUAAGGCACGAAAGCGUAGGGACCAAACGGGAUUGGAUACCCCGGUAGUC